Molecule: long non-coding RNA, 729 nt
Filed under: Homo sapiens (human)
Lineage: Eukaryota; Metazoa; Chordata; Mammalia; Primates; Hominidae
Description: non-protein coding lnc-ZUFSP-4:3
Source: RNAcentral
AGUUGCGCUUGCGGUGGCCAUGCUGGUCUUUGUGACCUGUAUCUUGCGUGGACCUCCAAUCUUCUGUGACUAAGAAUGCCUAACCUCCUGGGAAUGCAGCUCAGUAGGUCUCAGCCUCGUUUUACCCAGCACCUGUUCAAGUUGGAGUCACUCUGGUUCAAACGCCUCUGACAACAGGACUAUUGGAGUACUGAUAGGAGUUUAUUUGCCUUAAUCACCUGGCCACCCUAUCCCUUUCUUAUUUCCUCCCUACUCCUCCGUCCUGGGAGACUGAAUUCAAAUAGACAAUGGCCAGAGAAUAUAUACAAAUAGAACACUAACCUACAACCUUCAACAACCAGUCCAGGAAGGCAACCUACUAUGUCCAGUAACCAGUCCAAGAAAUCAGAUUACUAUAUUUAGCAACCAGUCCAGGAAGCCAAGCAAUAACCCUUGUAGCAAUCUACCCCAAAUGGCCAGGACGUGAUUAAUAACUUACAGCUUCUGUAAGUUUUGUCAGGGCUUCCAACUCAAGGCCAGCUAGAGAGAGCCAAAUAUCUACCCACCCCUAAAUAAUUACAUAGGAUGCCCUGCUUUUAGUUAGCCCACCUGCAGCUUCUCCAUGCCAACAGCCUUGAAUUGGCAUACCUGAAGCUUUCCCUUUUUUCCACUCUAAAGCUUUCUCACUCCUCUGCCUGCCGUUGAGUCUCUGACAAAUGCAAGUGAUGAUGGCUGACUCCCUUGCUAUUG